UACGUAGGUGGCAAGCGUUGUCCGGAUUUACUGGGCGUAAAGGGCGCGCAGGCGGUCGUAUAAGUCGAAUGUGAAAGCCCCCGGCUCAACUGGGGAGGGUCAUUCGAUACUGUUCGACUCGAAGGCAGGAGAGGGAAGUGGAAUUCCGGGUGUAGUGGUGAAAUGCGUAGAGCUCCGGAGGAACACCAGUGGCGAAGGCGGCCGCCUGGGCCAGGCCUGACGCUGAGCCGCGAAAGCGUGGGGAGCGAUCCGG
RNAcentral lists this ribosomal RNA (253 nucleotides) under uncultured bacterium. RNAcentral's name for it is "partial 16S ribosomal RNA". It matches the Rfam family "Bacterial small subunit ribosomal RNA", at positions 524 to 776 of the family's 1533-position model. The record is from RNAcentral.